GAGCUCACUUUGGCAGCACAUGUACUAAAACUGGAGUGAUAACAGAAAAGAUUAGCAUGACCCCAACACAAGAAUGACAUGCAAAUCUGCGAAGUUACACACACACAC
Molecule: non-coding RNA, 108 nt
Organism: Erinaceus europaeus (western European hedgehog)
Lineage: Eukaryota; Metazoa; Chordata; Mammalia; Eulipotyphla; Erinaceidae
Source: Rfam